AAAUUGAAGAGUUUGAUCAUGGCUCAGAUUGAACGCUGGCGGCAGGCCUAACACAUGCAAGUCGAACGGUAACAGGAAGAAGCUUGCUUCUUUGCUGACGAGUGGCGGACGGGUGAGUAAUGUCUGGGAAACUGCCUGAUGGAGGGGGAUAACUACUGGAAACGGUAGCU
RNAcentral lists this ribosomal RNA (170 nucleotides) under Escherichia coli. Its description in RNAcentral is "partial 16S ribosomal RNA". It matches the Rfam family "Bacterial small subunit ribosomal RNA", at positions 1 to 164 of the family's 1533-position model. RNAcentral also lists the same sequence under 1 other name. Lineage: Bacteria; Pseudomonadati; Pseudomonadota; Gammaproteobacteria; Enterobacterales; Enterobacteriaceae. The record is from RNAcentral.